RNAcentral lists this unclassified non-coding RNA (284 nucleotides) under rhizosphere metagenome. RNAcentral's name for it is "partial ribosomal RNA internal transcribed spacer region". The record is from RNAcentral.
GUAGGUGAACCUGCGGAAGGAUCAUUAACGAGUUUUGAAGUGGGUUUGAUGCUGGCCUUCUCAGGCAUGUGCUCGCCCUAGUCUCAUCCACUCACACCUGUGCACCUAUAAAUGCCAGAAGAUUCAUCCCCUAGACUCUUAGGGGUGUGGUUCAAGGCAACUUGGACUGUUGGGUUGAAUCUUUUGCGUUUACUUUUCAUAAACUCUUGAAUGUAAUAGAAUGUCCAUGGCCUACGGGCUUUAUAAAUGAAAUACAACUUUCAACAACGGAUCUCUUGGCUCUC